AGUCUGAUAGCUCAAAUGGUAGAGCACUGUACUGGCAUUGCAGAGGUCAGCGUUUGAGUCCUCAAUCAGGCCU
This 73-nucleotide transfer RNA is filed under the name Acropora cervicornis. Its description in RNAcentral is "tRNA-Ala". It matches the Rfam family "tRNA". From Rfam's summary of the family: Transfer RNA (tRNA) molecules are approximately 80 nucleotides in length. Their secondary structure includes four short double-helical elements and three loops (D, anti-codon, and T loops). Further hydrogen bonds mediate the characteristic L-shaped molecular structure. tRNAs have two regions of fundamental functional importance: the anti-codon, which is responsible for specific mRNA codon recognition, and the 3' end, to which the tRNAs corresponding amino acid is attached (by aminoacyl-tRNA synthetases). tRNAs cope with the degeneracy of the genetic code in two manners: having more than one tRNA (with a specific anti-codon) for a particular amino acid; and 'wobble' base-pairing, i.e. permitting non-standard base-pairing at the 3rd anti-codon position. The record is from RNAcentral. Lineage: Eukaryota; Metazoa; Cnidaria; Anthozoa; Scleractinia; Acroporidae.